This 1038-nucleotide long non-coding RNA is filed under the name Diabrotica virgifera virgifera (western corn rootworm). RNAcentral's name for it is "uncharacterized LOC126882346". Lineage: Eukaryota; Metazoa; Arthropoda; Insecta; Coleoptera; Chrysomelidae. The record is from RNAcentral.
CAGCCCUAACAACACACAACAUUCCAGGAAUGUACUACCAAAGUUCUAUCAAUAUUUGAAUGUCCUGGACAUUUAGGGAACAUUCGGUGAACAUCUGAUUAAAUUAUUCGUGGAAUGUUACCAUAAGACAUUCUGUGAACAUACUACCAAUGUUCCUGUUCAUUUUCAAAUUCACGGCGCAUGUAUUUGUGCAUGGUGCUUAGAGAGGGCAUCACGUGACUAAAAACGACCAAUGACCUCACUUCAGACUUCGGUUCGGCCAUCUUGACAUGCAUCUUGCCUUGGCCACCUUGCCGUGCGUGAUCGUUGUUUGUUUUUAUUUGUGCUUUUUAAGAAUAUUUUUUAAUUCGGAUACUUUUAUAAUAACUUUAAUAGUAUUAUUAAUAUAGUGCAUAAAAUCAGUUGGAGUAGCAGAAGCAAUGUAGAUAAAAAAUCUGCAGGAAUAAUGUUUCAAAGCUUUCCAGAAGAUCCUGCGAAGAAGGCAUGAAGUAUUGAUCAGAUUUGUUAAUAGAGCAGUAUGUUCAAAACAUUUUUUAGAAAAAGAUAUUGACAGAACUUCACUUUCAACCGUUUGAGAGACUGUGCUGUUCCAAUAGCUUAUAUCACACAGAAUCAGCUGAGAGAAGUGGUCUACAAAAAACCAGGAAGGAAAUGGAAUAUGUGGCUAUGAAAGGCAAAAGAAAGGUUUACAAAGCAAAUGUGACACAUUUUUUUAUAGGAAUAUCAGUAAAUUACAUUAAAAAAAUGUAUGAAAAGAUUUUUUGCAAUAAAAAUGUUUAUAUUUAUCAAGCAUGCAUUAUUUGGUAUGGCCACAUAUCGUCAGUGAUGUGACAAUACCUCCUAUCUGUUUUUUCAUGAGAUUUGUAAGAUAGACUAAAAACUUGUUUGGGCCACCUCCUGUUUUCAUAUAUUUUUUGACUUGUUUUGCAGUAAAUUUAACUAUCUAUUUACUACAAAACAAGCCAGAACUUACGUAUGCAAACAGGAGGUGACCUUAAAAAAUGUUUUUCGUCUCCUGCAAACCUCAUGAAAAAAGAU